RNAcentral lists this ribosomal RNA (279 nucleotides) under uncultured bacterium. RNAcentral's name for it is "partial 16S ribosomal RNA". It matches the Rfam family "Bacterial small subunit ribosomal RNA", at positions 506 to 784 of the family's 1533-position model. The record is from RNAcentral.
UGCCAGCCGCCGCGGUAAUACGAACUGCACAAACGUUAUUCGGAAUCACUGGGCUUAAAGAGUCCGUAGGCGGUCUAGAAGGUGAGGUGUGAAAGCCCACAGCCCAACUGUGGAACUGCGCUUCAAACCGCUAGGCUUGAGGGAGACAGGGGUGAGCGGAACAGAUGGUGGAACGGUGAAAUGCGUUGAUAUCAUCUGGAACACCGGUGGCGAAGGCGGCUCACUGGGUCUCUUCUGACGCUGAGGGACGAAAGCUAGGGGAGCGAACGGGAUUAGAUA